UCCACUAGCCGCUUCAUCUGUUUCUUUUGCUCCAUGGUAGGGAGGGAGUCUCCAGACUGUUCAAGGGAGAGUGGUAGAACAGGGGACGGAGUUUUUAUCGAAGGAUGAAGAACACGAAUGUGGAUAGUUGUCUGUGAGAACAGAAAGGAAUUGCAAUAUGAAGGACUGGGGCAUAGAUGGACAGGGAGAUAUGAAGUUCAUUUAUGGGACAAAGGGUCUUGGCAUCCAACAUAAAGGAAUAAGGGAAAGCAAGUUUAUCUGGGAGCUCAUGGUGAAGAAGAAUCCAUAGCAAGAGCAUAUGAUUUGGCAGCACUCAAGUACUGGGGAGCAUCAACUUCUAAAAAAUUUCCGGUGUCUGAAUACUUAACAUUAAAAGAAUACUUGGCCUCUCUAAGAAGAAGAAGCAGUGACUUCUCAAAUGGUGUAUACAAGGGCAAUGGUGAUUACAACCCCUUCAUCAAAUAUGACUAUUUUGAUAUUGUCACGUGCCACAUUAUCCAGUUGUAAUUCAGUCUCUGUCUUUGUUUUUACUUUGAUGUGACUCUGAAUAACCAUACUUUACCGUCAAAAUCACACCCAUCCAAUGAUCAUGAUUUGUAUUUGCAUGAAAUUCUAUACCUUGGAUGUUGUUGGUGUAAUUCUAUAUGAGAUAUGGACAUCAAGCUACCUAUUCAAUUUGUGUGUUGUUCUAAAUUA
This is a long non-coding RNA of Rosa rugosa (rugosa rose), 696 nucleotides long. RefSeq lists it as uncharacterized. The transcript has 6 exons. Lineage: Eukaryota; Viridiplantae; Streptophyta; Magnoliopsida; Rosales; Rosaceae. The record is from RefSeq and is a predicted model, not a curated record.